RNAcentral lists this long non-coding RNA (778 nucleotides) under Marmota monax (woodchuck). The record is from RNAcentral. Lineage: Eukaryota; Metazoa; Chordata; Mammalia; Rodentia; Sciuridae.
GGACACACUGUUGAGACCGGCAAUGCAUGCAUUGUUUUCCUCAUAAUGCAGUCAGGAUCGCCAUAGGAAAAUUGAGCAUAUUUUUUUUGAAGUCUUAUUUUAUAUAUUUUUGUCACCAUCAGCAGUUGAACUAAAGUAGGAACUGCUCCAUUCUAUGACGGGUUAAAUUCUGCUCUGUGCUGAUCUAGUGGUGAUGUAUAAAUUGCAGCCCUUUCUUUCUUUUUGAAGGAUUCUAAAAUAGUUUUGGAGAAUCAGUGCUGGAUUUUUGCUUCUGCAUGUGUGGUGACUCUUGAUUUUUUCCCUUUGGAGGAGCAUCCUUUGCAGCAUUCCCCCUUCCGAGGAAUCACUUAGACACUUCCAGCUGGUGGCAGGGGAUACAGCCAUAAUACAGCUUCCUCUGUCCCAGCUGUCUCCACUACGGUAAAUGCAUUAUGAUGGCUGCACCCGUGUGUCAAGGCUCAGGUGAAGGAAGGUGUAGGAUGGAGUCUGGACCCCACCGUUUGGCUUUCUAAAUGCUUCAGCUUCUCCAGCAUCUCUGCCUUUUGAAUGUCUUCCUGCUUCCAGUCAAAGGCUUUUCUCCAGUGAGUGGGAUGCUGCUGCACGCCUGAUUAAAGGUGCCUGAGGAUAUCACCUUUUACACGGAAGCCCUGCGUGCUUUAACAGGAUCUUUUUCAAUGCAUUAUGGCUCAUGCAGCCUCACAAUUAAAGAAAAACAGGGAUUUAGAGAUCAAUGCUGAAGAAGAGACUGAGAAAAAAAGAAAACAUCGCAAACGGUCCC